This 38-nucleotide ribosomal RNA is filed under the name Fusarium avenaceum. Its description in RNAcentral is "partial 28S ribosomal RNA". Lineage: Eukaryota; Fungi; Ascomycota; Sordariomycetes; Hypocreales; Nectriaceae. The record is from RNAcentral.
AACUUCUGAAUGUUGACCUCGGAUCAGGUAGGAUACCC